This is a long non-coding RNA of Musa acuminata AAA Group (dessert banana), 1330 nucleotides long. RefSeq lists it as uncharacterized. The record is from RefSeq and is a predicted model, not a curated record. The transcript has 4 exons. Lineage: Eukaryota; Viridiplantae; Streptophyta; Magnoliopsida; Zingiberales; Musaceae.
CCAACACCAACGGGAAUAAAGCGUGACCGAAUACGUUAUCCUCUGCUUCUUCCCUUCCACUCUCCGCUCUUUCCCCUUCUCUCCCCUCUCCGUCAAACCCUACUUUUUUGCAAGCAGAUCUCUCGUCUUAAUGACACUGACAUCCUCGUCUUAAUUCCUCGAUCGAUUAAUCUCGAUUGCGAAAUCCUUGCGUGAUCGAAUUGCCGGAAUCCUUGUUAUCAUCUUCUUCUUUCGUUACGGUGAGUCGAUGAUGUCUUCGUGAUAUUGAGUGUGGGGCUUCGCUGUUCUUGUUGGACCCUCUUUUUCUUUGGACAGGGUUUGAGUCGGGAGCGUUGCGGUCGCUCCUGUUUCUGAUCUCCGUCGGAUGGAGCCUCGCGUGGGGGACAAGUUCCGCCUUGGUCGCAAGAUCGGGAGCGGUUCCUUUGGAGAGAUCUAUUUAGGAAUUAAUAUCCAAACAAACGAAGAGGUUGCCAUAAAGCUCGCUUUCUACUGUUCCAUCAUACAAGACAAAGAUGUGCAUCUAUUACGGAAAGAAGAAAUCUUGGAAUACUGUCAAGAAAAUGCCACAUGAGUCAUCUGGUUUUAGUUAUCUGAUGCAAGCUCAUUUCAGGCCACGUCACAAUCGAGGUCAUGCCACGCUACAGUCAAGUCAGUAAGGGGAGCACCCUCACACACUGAGCCAAAGAUCAUACUAAGACGCUGCUCGGUAUGUCCCGACCCGGUAAGCCCGGGACGGCGGCCGCAUAAGUGUACCGUCUCAUCUCUCGAGGAUCGAUCGUCAUGCCAAAUCCGCGUACGAUCAACCCUCGUACAAUAGUAUAAAAGCUCAUGGCAGCAUCUGGCCCAAGGGGAAAAAAGGAAAAAAGAGAACUUCACACUGAUUGAUUGAUUGAUGGGUCAUAGUCGGUAAUCACCCAACGGGUCCUUCUGUGCAAGAGAGCAAUCAUCCCCAAAGUAAGAUUAUUUCGAUCAAGAGAGAUUGUCUCCCCCUACGCGCCGACCAGCAUCCCGGUGGAGAACCAUCAACCAACGUCUCGAGUAAGAGUCACCAACCAGCUUUCCGACCUCGGUAACCAGCUCAGACGAUCGAAGACUCCCGACAUCGACCCGUGAAUCAAGUCAUGCUAACUCAUCAACCACAGUGCAUCAAUUCACUAACAAAUAGAUUUUCCAAGAAACAGUUUGCUUCAAAAGAGCAUGCAAUUAAUAAGCUUGCAUGAUGUUAUAUAACUAAUAUGUAACAUAUAACAUGUUAUAUAUAAGCUAGACAUGUUAUAUAUUAGUUAUCGAAAGUGAUGAAGAAGUUAAUAAAUACUCACUGGUUUUAGAU